GCAUUAAUCAUGCUCCCAUAUCUAAUGCUGCAAAAGAAGAGGUCCAAUAUAUUGAUACAAACGUAUUGGAAAAUUAUCAUAACAAAACUAAACUAGGGUUACAAUGAGAUUUUUAUAAGUAAAACAAGUCCAAUAUAGGAUGCCUGAAACAAGGGUGCUAACCAAGUACUCACAAGUCACAAAGUUCACACUUUAGGGGGUGGGGCAGGGUUUGGAACAAGGGCUACUCACCAUAGCUUAACAUCUACAAAAGAAGUUCAUUCUCCUAGAAAGUUUUAUUUCACUCUCACCUCACAUCAUAGGACAGGAGAGUCGGUCUCUGGAUAGGUGGCCUCUCUUUUUCCAAAAACUAGCCCUGCCACCUGAAGAAAAGCUCCACAUGUGCCCAAACAUCAUCUACUGAACCAAAAAAAUCACAAAACCAACAAAAUCAAACACCACAGUUCAACAAAAAAAUGGUUCACCGUCUCAUUGUCCUUUAUGCAUAAAGAAAAUAUAACAUUUCCUUACCAUCUGACCAUUACAUAGGACCAACAAUCUCCAUCAUCUCCCCAUCUCCUCCUCCUCUUUGAUGGAUCUAUAAAUAGUAAAACUUCUUCAGACACCACUUGAAUAAAGCUGCAGUGUACCAAACCUUCUUUCUAGGAUAGCUACUUCAUCUUUACUCCAACAUGGUUAAGAGAAACAAAUAUCUAAAGAGGGUCUUUUGUUUUUUCAAAAGCCUCCAUCUACAAGUCCCCCGUCCCCACCAAUCCAUACCCUCAAAUAAAACCUCUUUAUACAAAUCUAUGUCCCAACCCCUGCUGCUUUCCAAGUUUCCACAAAACAAAUCAUAUAUCAAAUAACAUUCACAACCUCAUGUGUGAUCAUAGCCCAACCUUCGGGACACUUCUUCAAGUGCGUGUUGAGCCAGGUUGCAAUGGCUCACAUGCAUGUAAAAUAUUACCAGGGAUGGUGAAAAUCUAGUUCAUAAGCCUAAUUUUAAGGAAACUCUAAUUUCAAGCACUAUAUGGAUUAGAUAGCACCCUAUCUCUCAUAAAUAUGGAAUUUGGAAUAAAUCCUAAGUUCAAAACACACAUGAAGCCAGGUGCCAGGCAUGACAAUACAUAUGUCUUGACAUUACAUUCCAAGGCUGAAAAAAUCAGCAACAUUUUACACCGAUUUUAGUUUGAUUUCACACGUACACACAUAACCAACAAUAAAUUUAAAUAUUUACUAGCUCCAUGUGAGUGAAAAAAAUAAACAUAAAUAACAAACAAAAAGAUAAAAAAAAAAAAAACAAGAAAUCGAGUAGGUAGCACGCAUACAGCGGUUACGGUUACAUACACACACAAAACCUUUCAAUAUUUAGAGGCGAAUAAAAAGACAUGUAUGGAAGCUGGGGAAGAAACAAAAGUUGAAUGGCACUUAAGACGGUUGUUACUUGUUGAUAAGCUUUUAGGUCUCUGUGGAUACUUAUUGCUAGAUCCACAUAAGACCAUUAGUUAUCAUGUACGAGCCAUUGGAAAGUGGCUCAAGGUGAAGACCCAUAGUGUCUAAAGCCAUUAAUGGAACUUGACUACCAUUUCUAUUGACUUUUUAUGGAUUAAAUCUCGGAUUUUUCUCCUCGUAUUGGGGACAACAACAUAAAGGAUGGUUGUUUCCCGAACCGGUAUAGGUUUAACAAUGAAGAUUUAAUCCAUAAAAAGUCAAUAGAAAUGGUAGUCAAGUUCUAUUAAUGGCUUUAGACACUAUGGGUCUUCACCUUGAGCCACUUUCCAAUGGCUCGUACAUGAUAACUAAUGGUCUUAUGUGGAUCUAGCAAUAAGUAUCCACAGAGACCUAAAAGCUUAUCAUGUAUUGGCCAUUCAAAGUGAUUCUAAGGGAUUUAAAGCAAAACUUUAGAUUUAAAAGCCAUUUAUGAACUCCAACUACUUGUAUUUAAUGCACGAGAGUUUUCCACUUUUGCAUCUGGACUUUUCACCUAGCUUCCUUCACUCCAAGAAACCAAAGGUUUAGCCUCUCAUCCUCUGGGAAAACUUCCUCAGAGGUUGUUUGGCUUCCAAGAAAAAGAAAAUAGAAAAGAGAAGGAAAAACAGAGCAAGGCUCUGUAUAUUCUAUAUAUUGAUCGAUUCUACAUACUUAUAUAUCUAUAUAUUUCACAAUGGAUGCAAGGGAAUAUAUAUAGAGAAGUUUUUCCAAGCUUCCUAGCUAAGAAAUCUCAUGGUUGGUGGAUUACAAGGAGAAGAAUGGAAAUUUAUACAAAAAUAUCUAAAGAAAAGAUCUAAAAGAGUCGGUGCACAAAUAUCCCAGUUCGCAUGUAGAUUUCCCACGUUGCAUGGUGACUUGCGAAAAUCUCGCAAGUUGAUUUCGCAACUUGGAAUCCAUUUUCGCACGUUGAGCUCCAAGUUCGUUGCAAAAUUACUUUCUCAAGUUGGGCUUCUCUGUGACUGUGCGGCUGUAUUCCAUUUCCAUUUCGCAAGGUAGGCUUUAAUUUCGCACGUUGGAGUUCCAAAUUCGCAAGAUGCGAAUUUGUCCUUCAGCUGGAUGCAGUUGUCUUGAGAAGGCCAUAUCUUCCUCAUUUCAGCUCCAAUUCGUACACCGUUUGAAGCAUUGGAUUCUUGACUUCCUGAGAUUUGAAAUGGUAUAUAGCAUGUAGAAAAUGGACUUCGGGAAGUGCUCCAAAAGUGCAAAAGAAGACUGCAGCUGCUGUCCUCUAUUUUCUUCACUCUGUUUUUCCUCUCUCCGUUGUUCUUUCCUUACAUACUUUGAACGACUUUGGCAAAGGGCUAUGAAGCUCCAAAGCUUGGUUCUUCAUGAAUUUGAGCUUCCAAAAGCUUUGCCAUGAACUAUAUACAGCUCUCCCUCAUUCUUGGAUUGCUUUGGUGUAGCUAAAAGCUAUCAAAAACACCAAAACUUAACACAAUUUGAUUAGAAACGAUUGCAAGGGUCCUUAACAUGCCAAUUGAGUUAAAAGGUAAUAAUUACUACUCAAGAGUGUUUAAAAGAGUUAAUUACAAGCUACAAAAUAGCACUUUUUGAGUAGUAAUUACUUGUAGCUUAAGGGAGUUCAUUUUUUAUUUUUUAUUUUCAAGAAACCGAAUCAAAUAAGCCAUAAGAAUUAAUUCUUUUCUUUUCCAUGAUUUUCUCCGCAACCAAACACACAAUUAUCUUAAAAAAAGCAUUAAAAUAACACCAAACCUGAAAAUUCUUGCCAUGCAAAGCAAAAUCCAGAUGCAAAAAUUAGUCAAACCAAAAAAAAUAUUUCAAAAUUAUUAAAUCCUUGUUUGGAUGAAAACACAGAGGAAUGCAUUAUUUUUUUUUCAAAAAAACUAGACUUUGAACCAAAAACUUCCAUUUCUUAUAUAUUCCCCAGCUUUUCUCUGGAACCAAACCAGAAACCUAAAAAAAUUCCCAUUCUCACCAAACAAAACUUAUGGUUCCAAAUCCGAGUAUCCGAAAACAAGAAAACGAGAUCCACCCAACAAAAACCCAGAAAAAAGUGACGAUAAUUACGAAGAAGGAGAGUAGGAGAGAGCCAGAGGUGAUUACAGAUGAGGGAUCAGGAUCUUAGCCAGCGAUGACGAGGAGCUGCAUUGUGAAAUGUUAGCCAUGGAUUACACCGGAAAGCAUGGAUCGUACGACCAGAAUUGCGUAUGAGCUUUCGGCUCUGCUUUUGCUUCCGUUUUCUCCUCGGUAGGAGAAAGAAGAGUGAGCAACAAAGGACA
Molecule: long non-coding RNA, 3707 nt
Filed under: Vitis vinifera (wine grape)
Lineage: Eukaryota; Viridiplantae; Streptophyta; Magnoliopsida; Vitales; Vitaceae
Description: long non-coding RNA (VVIN_LNC004994)
Source: RNAcentral